AUUGAACGCUGGCGGCAGGCCUAACACAUGCAAGUCGAGCGGAUGAAGGGAGCUUGCUCCUGGAUUCAGCGGCGGACGGGUGAGUAAUGCCUAGGAAUCUGCCUGGUAGUGGGGGAUAACGUCCGGAAACGGGCGCUAAUACCGCAUACGUCCUGAGGGAGAAAGUGGGGGAUCUUCGGACCUCACGCUAUCAGAUGAGCCUAGGUCGGAUUAGCUAGUUGGUGGGGUAAAGGCCUACCAAGGCGACGAUCCGUAACUGGUCUGAGAGGAUGAUCAGUCACCCGGGAAAGGGAAACCGGCCCAAACCCCUAGGGGGGGCAGCGGGGGGAAAUUUGGGAAAAUGGGCGAAAGCCUGAUCCACCCAUGCCGGGGGGGUGAAGAAGGUUUUCGGAUGGGAAAGCACUUUAAGUUGGGAGGAAGGGAAGUAAGUUAAUACCUUGCUGUUUUGACGUUCCCAACAGAAAAAGCACCGGCUAACUUCGU
RNAcentral lists this ribosomal RNA (483 nucleotides) under uncultured bacterium. Its description in RNAcentral is "partial 16S ribosomal RNA". It matches the Rfam family "Bacterial small subunit ribosomal RNA", at positions 29 to 506 of the family's 1533-position model. The record is from RNAcentral.